RNAcentral lists this ribosomal RNA (253 nucleotides) under uncultured bacterium. RNAcentral describes it as "partial 16S ribosomal RNA". It matches the Rfam family "Bacterial small subunit ribosomal RNA", at positions 524 to 776 of the family's 1533-position model. The record is from RNAcentral.
UACGAAGGGGGCUAGCGUUGUUCGGAAUCACUGGGCGUAAAGGGCGCGUAGGCGGCCGAUUAAGUCAGGGGUGAAAUCCUGGAGCUCAACUCCAGAACUGCCUUUGAUACUGAAGAUCUUGAGUUCGGGAGAGGUGAGUGGAACUGCGAGUGUAGAGGUGAAAUUCGUAGAUAUUCGCAAGAACACCAGUGGCGAAGGCGGCUCACUGGCCCGAUACUGACGCUGAGGCACGAAAGCGUGGGGAGCAAACAGG